CACGGUUUCCGCGCCGCAGCUAACGCAUUAAGUGCCCCGCCUGGGGAGUACGGCCGCAAGGCUAAAACUCAAAGGAAUUGACGGGGGCCCGCACAAGCGGCGGAGCAUGCGGAUUAAUUCGAUGCAACGCGAAGAACCUUACCAAGGCUUGACAUGUUCUCGAUCGCCGUAGAGAUACGGUUUCCCCUUUGGGGCGGGUUCACAGGUGGUGCAUGGUUGUCGUCAGCUCGUGUCGUGAGAUGUUGGGUUAAGUCCCGCAACGAGCGCAACCCUCGUUCCAUGUUGCCAGCACGUCGUGGUGGGGACUCAUGGGAGACUGCCGGGGUCAACUCGGAGGAAGGUGAGGACGACGUCAAAUCAUCAUGCCCCUUAUGUCUUGGGCUUCACGCAUGCUACAAUGGCCGGUACAAUGGGUUGCGAUACUGUGAGGUGGAGCUAAUCCCAAAAAGCCGGUCUCAGUUCGGAUUGGGGUCUGCAACUCGACCCCAUGAAGUCGGAGUCGCUAGUAAUCGCAGAUCAGCAACGCUGCGGUGAAUACGUUCCCGGGCCUUGUACACACCGCCCGUCAAGUCACGAAAGUCGGUAACACCCGAAGCCGGUGGCCUAACCCUUGUGGGGGGAGCCGUCGAAGGUGGGACCAGCGAUUGGGACUAAGUC
This 657-nucleotide ribosomal RNA is filed under the name Micrococcus sp. DJM1B8. RNAcentral's name for it is "bacterial SSU rRNA". It matches the Rfam family "Bacterial small subunit ribosomal RNA", at positions 833 to 1487 of the family's 1533-position model. Lineage: Bacteria; Bacillati; Actinomycetota; Actinomycetes; Micrococcales; Micrococcaceae. The record is from RNAcentral.